UUGAAUCUUUUCGAUCCAAAUGUAGCGAAGAACCGGGGUCUGGUCCUGAACAAAUUUCACCCUUCGCUUUUUUUCUACCUCUUACGGUUACGGUGUUGGAACGAUAACAAGGUUUUUGGGUUUCGGAGGGAUUUCUCCGAACCGACAAAAUAUUUCGACUCACAGGGUGAGUUCCGGAUAGGUAUUCAUGACACCGAUACAAAGUGUGAACAUGAAAGCGACAUGGUGUACGGUUACGGAGGGAAAUUUUGUCAAAGUUUGGCGGAACAAGAAGAAUAAUAAUAAUAAUAA
RNAcentral lists this long non-coding RNA (291 nucleotides) under Mytilus galloprovincialis (Mediterranean mussel). Lineage: Eukaryota; Metazoa; Mollusca; Bivalvia; Mytilida; Mytilidae. The record is from RNAcentral.